AACCCAUGGUGAGGGCACCUUCUCAGUAAGUCCUUGUAUCUCUCCCAUGCACCAUAAAGUGUUUCUAAAUCCAUCUACACAAAUAAGAGAUAUCAUUACACAAUUU
Molecule: small nucleolar RNA, 106 nt
Filed under: Gossypium hirsutum (cotton)
Lineage: Eukaryota; Viridiplantae; Streptophyta; Magnoliopsida; Malvales; Malvaceae
Description: Plant small nucleolar RNA R71
Rfam family: Plant small nucleolar RNA R71
About the family: R71 is a member of the C/D box family of snoRNAs containing the C (UGAUGA) and D (CUGA) box motifs.
Source: Rfam by way of RNAcentral